Molecule: long non-coding RNA, 333 nt
Filed under: Brassica rapa (field mustard)
Lineage: Eukaryota; Viridiplantae; Streptophyta; Magnoliopsida; Brassicales; Brassicaceae
Description: long non-coding RNA (BRAP_LNC007336)
Source: RNAcentral
GGUUAUCCUAAUUUCUAAAUCACAAACCCAAAUCUACAGUAUUUCCCUAAAAAAUAAAAAAUUUCCAAAAAUAGCAGUUUUUAAGAAAAUUAUUUUCAAAUACAAGCUAUAGAUGAAAAAUUCAGAAAGAAUACUCAUAUAUCCACAAAUAUUCUUGUUAUCCUAAUUUCUAAAUCACAAACCCUAAUCUACUGUAUUUUCUCAAAAAAUGAAAACUUUCCAAAAAUAGCAGUUUUUAAGAAAAUUAUUUAAAAAUACAACCUAUUGAUGAAAAUUUCAGAAAGAAUAAUCAUCUAUCCACAAAUAUUCUUGUUAUGCUAAUUUCUAAAUCAC